This 1477-nucleotide long non-coding RNA is filed under the name Papio anubis (olive baboon). RNAcentral's name for it is "lncRNA (ENSPANG00000044534.1)". Lineage: Eukaryota; Metazoa; Chordata; Mammalia; Primates; Cercopithecidae. The record is from RNAcentral.
AAGGGACUUUGCAGAUAUGAUUAACUGAAGCAUCUUGAGAUGGAAAGAUGAUCCCAGAUUAUCCAGUGGGGCUAAUGUCAUCACAAGGGUCUUUAUGAAAAGGUGAUGUGGGGUGAUGUCAGAAGAUGUCAGAGGCCAGAGUGAUGCGAUUGCCAAAAGUGACCAUGAGCCAAGGAGUGUGGGCAGCCUCUGGAGGUUGGAGUGGACAAGAAAAUGGAUUAUUCCCUGAACCUUCAGAAGAAAUGAAGUCCUGUGACACACUGAUAUUAGGAUUCCUGAUAUUCAGAAUUCUGUUUUACAAGUAUGUGGCGUCACAUCCAGAUCUGGCUGAUUCUAUAGCUGCUGUCCAUCUCUGUACCAGGCUACUUCAGAUACUUGAUGGUUUGCAACUUUGCAAGUCUGGAUGCAUGUGAAAAUGACCCAGGAAGCAACAACAAAAAUCCAAGGCACUGGCAUCAGUGUGUUUUAAAAGCAUAUUCUACUGUGCAUUCAGGGUUGGAGACUACUGCUGCCUUACCCUAGCCUAGCCCAGGAAGCUGGGGGAGAAUAAAGUAUUUCUCUAUGAUGUUGGCAGCUCAUGUCCACAGUGGAUCUUAUCACCUCCAGUCUUCCUUUCCUUACUUGUGGUUUCUUGCCAUUCCACCUUAGCCUGGAAUUACGUUCCAUUUCCUUGAUGUCUGUAAUUCAUCUUGUCCCUUGAUUGACAGUCCAUUUGGGGCAUCCUUUUCCAGCAACACUUAGGAAUUCCUUCUGGCAAGGCUGUGAUUUGUCUCUUAACAGUGCACACCCUGAUAGCAAGUAAGGGGCUCCCCCUCCAUCCUCAUAUCCCAGUCCCUGUCUUCAUCCCCUGAUUACCCUCCUGCUAGCGGAGGGGAAGCUGACAGUUGUAAACUCUAAAUUGCUUGCAAAUAUUUUAUACUAUUCUUCCAAUCAGCACAGUUAUUAUGAGUACAUAGUCAGGAGUCACAGACAGGGGGACAUCAUCAGGUUCGAAACAUAAACCUCGUGCUCGUAUGUGACAGAGCCUAGGGUCCGACGCAAGCGUGUUGGUCAAAGUUGAAUACUCACAUUCCGUUAAUGCUGCUUACAAAUUACUUUUCUAAUUAAGCGCUUGCUUAUUAAAGAUGCAAUCUGUCACUGCAUGGGUGAUGCCCGACCACAUUCCUGUCUCUUCUUUGCUUCGUCCAGAUGUUGUUUACUAAAAUGUGUUUCCUCAAAAUUCUACUUUGCCAUUCCAUCCCUGAAGUCCUCCAGCCAUGAGUAAUACAGCCAGCUGAUGGCUACUCAAUAAAUAACUGCUUGCAGAGGAAUUUGGGGCAGGGGGAUGGGGGAAGAGGGGCAUGAGUUAGAAUGGCUGAUUUGUUUUUCCAGGUUGAAUGAGCCAAUUGCUAUUAAUCCGUAGCCCUACGAGGAUUUCUCUUGACAUGAAUUAAUCUACCUGUUCUCCGGACAAAAGGCAAAUGAGAAUGUGCUGGUA